RNAcentral lists this ribosomal RNA (530 nucleotides) under uncultured bacterium. RNAcentral describes it as "bacterial SSU rRNA". It matches the Rfam family "Bacterial small subunit ribosomal RNA", at positions 777 to 1304 of the family's 1533-position model. The record is from RNAcentral.
AAUAGAUACCCCGGUAGUCCACGCCGUAAACGAUGAGUGCUAGAUGUUGGGGAACCUAGUUCUUCAGUGUCACAGCUAACGCGUUAAGCACUCCGCCUGGGGAGUACGGCCGCAAGGCUAAAACUCAAAGGAAUUGACGGGGGCCCGCACAAGCGGUGGAGCAUGUGGUUUAAUUCGACGCAACGCACAGAACCUUACCAGCCCUUGACAUGGGGGUCGCGGAUUUCAGAGAUGAGAUCCUUCAGUUCGGCUGGACCCCACACAGGUGCUGCAUGGCUGUCGUCAGCUCGUGUCGUGAGAUGCUGGGUUAAGUCCCGCAACGAGCGCAACCCUCGUCCUUAGUUGCCAUCGGUUCGGCCGGGCACUCUAAGGAAACUGCCGGUGAUAAGCUGGAGGAAGGUGGGGAUGGCGUCAAGUCCUCAUGGCCCUUACGGGCUGGGCUACACACGUGCUACAAUGGCGGUGACAGUGGGAAGCGAAGGGGCGACCCGGAGCUAAUCCCCAAAAGCCGUCUCAGUUCGGAUUGUUCU